CCUACGGGUGGCUGCAGUGGGGAAUAUUGCACAAUGGGCGAAAGCCUGAUGCAGCGACGCCGCGUGAGGGAUGACGGCCUUCGGGUUGUAAACCUCUUUCAGCAGGGAAGAAGCGAAAGUGACGGUACCUGCAGAAGAAGCACCGGCUAACUACGUGCCAGCAGCCGCGGUAAUACGUAGGGUGCGAGCGUUGUCCGGAAUUAUUGGGCGUAAAGAGCUUGUAGGCGGUUUGUCGCGUCUGCAGUGAAAAUCCGAGGCUCAACCUCGGACUUGCUGUGGGUACGGGCAGACUAGAGUAUGGUAGGGGAGACCGGAAUUCCUGGUGUAGCGGUGGAAUGCGCAGAUAUCAGGAGGAACACCGAUGGCGAAGGCAGGUCUCUGGGCCAUAACUGACGCUGAGAAGCGAAAGCAUGGGGAGCGAACAGGAUUAGAUACCCCGGUAGUC
Molecule: ribosomal RNA, 445 nt
Filed under: uncultured Intrasporangiaceae bacterium
Lineage: Bacteria; Bacillati; Actinomycetota; Actinomycetes; Micrococcales; Intrasporangiaceae
Description: bacterial SSU rRNA
Rfam family: Bacterial small subunit ribosomal RNA
Source: RNAcentral